AUGGAGGGAGAGAGUGAGGCUUGUGGGCCUGGCUGGCACAGGGGCCCUGGUUCCGGCUCACACUCCCGGGGCGGCAGACGGUCGCUGGCAGCGAGUGAAGGCCCCAUUUGUGUGCUAUGUCAGCUGGGAGGGAAGGCCUUUUAAGGGGUGAGAUCGUGUGGCCCGAUAGCGGGCCGGGGCCUCUCCCUGGGGGGGGACCAGGCCCCCUGUGAGGACUGUCGGCCAUUGUUAACUGCGCUGCAUAUGAAGGAAAACGGGACACAGGCAGUCAGCUGAUACCUGUGCGAUCUGGCCACCGGGGUACUCAGCUCCAGUGCCUGCAGCUCCAGUUACACGGCCUGCCGGGCAAGGGGGGUGCACCCACCCUGGGAAGGGCCCACGGUCUGGCUGAUGUGCCUCCAUCCGCCGCAUGCCCAGGACAGGCGACAGGGAGCCAGCCAGCGGAUCGAGAAGCAAUCCUGUGAGAAAGGCGACUCUUAUCUCCACCUUACAGAAGAGAAAACUGAGGCUCAGAGGGGUAAAGGCCCUGCUCUAGAUGAAGCCCACCAGCCUGGUCCUUCUGUCAAGGGUCCCCUACAGCACCCUGUGCAGGCCUGGUACCUACUGGGCACUGGUGAUGGAGCCGGCUGUGAACUGGGAGCAGAGCUGAGGCCCCAGGUGAGGAGCAGCAGAGAUGGGGGCUGCCUCUGGCCUUUCAUCUGGAGCCCACGCCCGGCCUUUCUCCUCCACUCCGCAGUGGGAGGCCCCAGGAGCACUCACCUGGAGCCAAACAGGCUGGUUCUGAGGCCCACCUGUGCCUGGAAGGUGGGGCCCACGCAGAGAGGACACUAA
Molecule: long non-coding RNA, 831 nt
Filed under: Callithrix jacchus (white-tufted-ear marmoset)
Lineage: Eukaryota; Metazoa; Chordata; Mammalia; Primates; Cebidae
Description: lncRNA (ENSCJAG00000080879.1)
Source: RNAcentral